Molecule: ribosomal RNA, 1371 nt
Filed under: Bacillus safensis
Lineage: Bacteria; Bacillati; Bacillota; Bacilli; Caryophanales; Bacillaceae
Description: bacterial SSU rRNA
Rfam family: Bacterial small subunit ribosomal RNA
Source: RNAcentral
GGCGGGGGGCUAACUGCAGUCGAGCGGACAGAAGGAGCUUGCUCCCGGAUGUUAGCGGCGGACGGGUGAGUAACACGUGGGUAACCUGCCUGUAAGACUGGGAUAACUCCGGGAAACCGGAGCUAAUACCGGAUAGUUCCUUGAACCGCAUGGUUCAAGGAUGAAAGACGGUUUCGGCUGUCACUUACAGAUGGACCCGCGGCGCANUAGCUAGUUGGUGGGGUAAUGGCUCACCAAGGCGACGAUGCGUAGCCGACCUGAGAGGGUGAUCGGCCACACUGGGACUGAGACACGGCCCAGACUCCUACGGGAGGCAGCAGUAGGGAAUCUUCCGCAAUGGACGAAAGUCUGACGGAGCAACGCCGCGUGAGUGAUGAAGGUUUUCGGAUCGUAAAGCUCUGUUGUUAGGGAAGAACAAGUGCGAGAGUAACUGCUCGCACCUUGACGGUACCUAACCAGAAAGCCACGGCUAACUACGUGCCAGCAGCCGCGGUAAUACGUAGGUGGCAAGCGUUGUCCGGAAUUAUUGGGCGUAAAGGGCUCGCAGGCGGUUUCUUAAGUCUGAUGUGAAAGCCCCCGGCUCAACCGGGGAGGGUCAUUGGAAACUGGGAAACUUGAGUGCAGAAGAGGAGAGUGGAAUUCCACGUGUAGCGGUGAAAUGCGUAGAGAUGUGGAGGAACACCAGUGGCGAAGGCGACUCUCUGGUCUGUAACUGACGCUGAGGAGCGAAAGCGUGGGGAGCGAACAGGAUUAGAUACCCUGGUAGUCCACGCCGUANACGAUGAGUGCUAAGUGUUAGGGGGUUUCCGCCCCUUAGUGCUGCAGCUAACGCAUUAAGCACUCCGCCUGGGGAGUACGGUCGCAAGACUGAAACUCAAAGGAAUUGACGGGGGCCCGCACAAGCGGUGGAGCAUGUGGUUUAAUUCGNAAGCACGCGAAGAACCUUUACAGGGUCUGACAUCCUCUGACNNACCUAGAGAUAGGGCUUUCCCCUUUCGGGACAGAGUGACAGGUGGUGCAUGGGUGUCGUCAGCUCGUGUCGUGAGAUGUUGGGUUAAGUCCCNGCACGAGCGCAACCCUUGAUCNUUAGUGCAGCAUUCAGUUGGGGCACUCUAAGUGACUGCCNGUGACNACCCGGAGAAAGGGGGGAAUGACGUCAAUCAUCAUGCCCCUUAUGACGUGGGCUAACCNGUGCUUCAAGGGAAAAACAAGGGCUGCAAACCCCCAAGGUUACCAAUCCAUAAAUCUGUUUCAUUUCGAUCCAACCUGCACCUCCCGGCGGGAGGGAAACCCUUUAAUCCGAAUACAGUGCCGGGGGAUAAUUCCCGCGCUUUAACACGCCCGUCCCCCAAUUUUGGACCCAAGCGUGGG